Molecule: ribosomal RNA, 253 nt
Filed under: uncultured bacterium
Lineage: Bacteria
Description: partial 16S ribosomal RNA
Rfam family: Bacterial small subunit ribosomal RNA
Source: RNAcentral
UACAGAGACUGCAAGCGUUAUUCGGAUUCACUGGGCGUAAAGGGUGCGUAGGCGGCCGGGUAAGUCUGACGUGAAAUCUUCAAGCUCAACUUGGAAACUGCGUCCGAUACUAUUCGGCUAGAGGAAUGGAGGGGAGACUGGAAUACUUGGUGUAGCAGUGAAAUGCGUAGAUAUCAAGUGGAACACCAGUGGCGAAGGCGAGUCUCUGGACAUUUCCUGACGCUGAGGCACGAAAGCCAGGGGAGCAAACGGG